Non-coding RNA from Pilobolus umbonatus, 78 nucleotides. The record is from the annotation of a GenBank genome assembly. Lineage: Eukaryota; Fungi; Mucoromycota; Mucoromycetes; Mucorales; Pilobolaceae.
GGUUUCUUAGUGUAGUGGUCAACACAUUAAAUUGAUUCAAUUCUUUGAAAGACGUCAGUUCAAAUCUGGCAGAAACCG